UUGCCCUAGUAACGGCGAGUGAAGCGGCAACAGCUCAAAUUUGAAAUCUGGCGUCUUUGGCGUCCGAGUUGUAAUUUGCAGAGGGCGCUUUGGCAUUGGCAGCGGUCCAAGUUCCUUGGAACAGGACGUCACAGAGGGUGAGAAUCCCGUACGUGGUCGCUAGCCUUUACCGUGUAAAGCCCCUUCGACGAGUCGAGUUGUUUGGGAAUGCAGCUCUAAAUGGGAGGUAAAUUUCUUCUAAAGCUAAAUACUGGCCAGAGACCGAUAGCGCACAAGUAGAGUGAUCGAAAGAUGAAAAGCACUUUGGAAAGAGAGUUAAAAAGCACGUGAAAUUGUUGAAAGGGAAGCGCUUGCAGCCAGACUUGCCUGUAGUUGCUCAUCCGGGUUUUUACCCGGUGCACUCUUCUAUAGGCAGGCCAGCAUCAGUUUGGGCGGUUGGAUAAAGGUCUCUGUCAUGUACCUCCUUUCGGGGAGAUCUUAUAGGGGAGACGACAUGCAACCAGCCUGGACUGAGGUCCGCGCAUCUGCUAGGAUGCUGGCGUAAUGGCUGUAAGCGGCCCGUCUUGAAACACGGACCAAGGAGUCUAACAUCUAUGCGAGUGUUUGGGUGUCAAGCCCGAACGCGUAAUGAAAGUGAACGGAGGUGGGAACCUUUCGGGGUGCACCAUCGACCGAUCCUGAUGUCUUCGGAUGGAUUUGAGUAAGAGCAUAGCUGUUGGGACCCGAAAGAUGGUGAACUAUGCUUGAAUAGGGUGAAGCCAGAGGAAACUCUGGUGGAGGCUCGCAGCGGUUCUGACGUGCAAAUCGAUCGUCAAAUUUGGGCAUAGGGGCGAAAGACUAAUCGAACUAUCUAGUAGCUGGUUCCUGCCGAAGUUUCCCUCAGGAUAGCAGUAACGUUUUCAGUUUUAUGAGGUAAAGCGAAUGAUUAGAGGCAUGGGGGUUGAAACAACCUU
This 953-nucleotide ribosomal RNA is filed under the name Stagonosporopsis papillata. Its description in RNAcentral is "eukaryotic LSU rRNA". It matches the Rfam family "Eukaryotic large subunit ribosomal RNA", at positions 75 to 1048 of the family's 3401-position model. The record is from RNAcentral. Lineage: Eukaryota; Fungi; Ascomycota; Dothideomycetes; Pleosporales; Didymellaceae.